ACAUAGAAAAUGAUAGUGCGAGUGGGGCAUCCGUGUACUGGGGACACAUUCUUGUUUAAUUUAAUUUAUAUAUAGGUUUCUUCUACUGCAUUGAGUACUAGACGGAUAAGUUUUACAAUUUAAAAUAUGAGACUCGCUGAUCCAUUUUGAAAUUUAACUGUGAGAGAGAAUUAAUAUAGUAUAUUAGGAGAUAGCGUUGUGAAAUCUGUUUCUCAGAUGAUUUUAAAAAGAUAUAUGUAGCCAAGUUUUCUUCUUGUUCACUGAUCAGCAAAAAAACAAUAUUAUUUCUCUGUGAUGUCAUUAGACAAUGUCGCUUUUAUUGUGACUCCUUGAUAAAGAAGGAAGAGAAAAGCAAGAGAGUUUAAUGUAACUUCAAAAUUCAUAUCUUUUUCAUAGAAUUGUGAACUAUAUGAAUUUUGGAGUAAAAUCUGCGUAAAAUACAAAUUUUUUACAGCAAUGAAUAAUAGCCAAUACCUAUGUUAUCUUCAUGUCUCACUAUUGAAUUUUUAAAAUUUUUACUACAAUAUAUGAUACAUUUUACUGAGAUUAUGAACAUUUUUAUUAUAUUUAUUAGACAGAUAGUCGACACAAAUUGAUACAAAUUAUAGUGUAAAUUAUUACUGGCAUACAACUGAUUUGUAUAAUUGAUAUUUCAUUAUUUCCCCCAAAUCUCAUGUAAGAUUAUGUUUUGUAUGUUUUAUGAUUAACCAAAAUGCAUUUAAAAAUGAAAGAUGACAUUAAUCAGGAAACACUUGUUACAUCAAUACACAUCUUGAUUGAUUUUACAGAAAUCAUUGUAUUUUCCCACCUUUUUUGUCAGUCAUUAUACAUUACUUCCCUUGUGAUUAUUAUCUAUUACACAUUAAAUGCAAAUAAAGAAACAUAAUUAUAAAAUUUGAAAUAAUCACAAAUAAA
This 915-nucleotide long non-coding RNA is filed under the name Mytilus galloprovincialis (Mediterranean mussel). Lineage: Eukaryota; Metazoa; Mollusca; Bivalvia; Mytilida; Mytilidae. The record is from RNAcentral.